RNAcentral lists this ribosomal RNA (613 nucleotides) under Netria multispinae. RNAcentral describes it as "eukaryotic LSU rRNA". Lineage: Eukaryota; Metazoa; Arthropoda; Insecta; Lepidoptera; Notodontidae. The record is from RNAcentral.
GGGGUAAACCUGCGAAACUCGAAUGAACGAACGGAGAGAUUCAUCGUCAUUCCGCGGCGUGAGCGCGCGCGUCAUCGAUGCUCGUCGACCUCGGUCGGCGGGCACGUCGCGUGCGCUUCCACGUCCGCGGACGGCGUGCACUUCUCUCUCAGUAACAAUUGCAUCGCGACCCGUUCGAUGUCGAUCUAAGCGCCGCUCGCGGGAGCCCCGCCGUCGCCGGUAACACGGCGGCGACGGGACCGUCGGUGGUCGCCGAUCGGCCGUCGGACGGUAUAAUAUUACGAUACGCGCACGCGUUUUAAACGCGUCCGGCCCGACGCAAGUCAACGUCGUAUCCCGGCGUUCCGCCCGAGCGCGGACGUUGGUGCGGCGCGUCUGUCGUCGCAGCCGUGCAGUCUCGGACCGUGCGCGUCUCCGUCGGCGAUGAUUCUGUUUCGGGCACUCGCAGGACCCGUCUUGAAACACGGACCAAGGAGUCUAGCAUGUAUGCGAGUCAUUGAGAUUUUGACAAUAAACUGAAAGGCGUAACGAAAGUGAAGGCGCGCGCUCGUCGCGCGCUCAGGGAGGAUGGAGCCGCGAUCUAGGUCGCACUCUCGCACUCCCGAGGCGUCUC